Molecule: ribosomal RNA, 484 nt
Filed under: uncultured bacterium
Lineage: Bacteria
Description: partial 16S ribosomal RNA
Rfam family: Bacterial small subunit ribosomal RNA
Source: RNAcentral
AUUGAACGCUGGCGGCAGGCCUAACACAUGCAAGUCGAGCGGAUGAAGGGAGCUUGCUCCUGGAUUCAGCGGCGGACGGGUGAGUAAUGCCUAGGAAUCUGCCUGGUAGUGGGGGAUAACGUCCGGAAACGGGCGCUAAUACCGCAUACGCCCUGAGGGAGAAAGUGGGGGAUCUUCGGACCCCACGCUAUCAGAUGAGCCUAGGUCGGAUUAGCUAGUUGGUGGGGUAAAGGCCUACCCAGGCGACGCUCCGUAACUGGUCUGAGAGGAUGAUCAGUCACACUGGAACUGAGACACGGUCCAGACUCCUAAGGGAGGCAGCAGUGGGGAAUAUUGGACGAUGGGCGAAAGCCUGAUCCAGCCAUGCCGCGUGUGUGAAGAAGGUCUUCGGAUUGUAAAGCACUUUAAGUUGGGAGGAAGGGCAGUAAGUUAACACCUUGCUGUUUUGACGUUACCAACAGAAUAAGCACCGGCUAACUUCGUG